Molecule: ribosomal RNA, 433 nt
Filed under: uncultured bacterium
Lineage: Bacteria
Description: partial 16S ribosomal RNA
Rfam family: Bacterial small subunit ribosomal RNA
Source: RNAcentral
AACGAACGCUGGCGGCAUGCCUAACACAUGCAAGUCGAACGAGACCUUCGGGUCUAGUGGCGCACGGGUGCGUAACGCGUGGGAACCUGCCCUUAGGUUCGGAAUAACUCCCCGAAAGGGGUGCUAAUACCGGAUAAUGUCUUCGGACCAAAGAUUUAUCGCCUUUGGAUGGGCCCGCGUUGGAUUAGCUAGUUGGUAGGGUAAAAGCCUACCAAGGCGACGAUCCAUAGCUGGUCUGAGAGGAUGAUCAGCCACCCUGGGACUGAGACACGGCCCAGACUCCUACGGGAGGCAGCAGUGGGGAAUAUUGGACGAUGGGCGAAAGCCUGAGCCAGCAAUGCCGCGUGAGUGAUGAAGGCCUUAGGGUUGUAAAGCUCUUUUACCCGGGAUGAUAAUGACAGUACCGGGAGAAUAAGCUCCGGCUAACUCCGUG